This 460-nucleotide ribosomal RNA is filed under the name Streptococcus mitis. Its description in RNAcentral is "bacterial SSU rRNA". It matches the Rfam family "Bacterial small subunit ribosomal RNA", at positions 28 to 471 of the family's 1533-position model. The record is from RNAcentral. Lineage: Bacteria; Bacillati; Bacillota; Bacilli; Lactobacillales; Streptococcaceae.
GACGAACGCUGGCGGCGUGCCUAAUACAUGCAAGUAGAACGCUGAAGGAGGAGCUUGCUUCUCUGGAUGAGUUGCGAACGGGUGAGUAACGCGUAGGUAACCUGCCUGGUAGCGGGGGAUAACUAUUGGAAACGAUAGCUAAUACCGCAUAAGAGUAGAUGUUGCAUGACAUUUGCUUAAAAGGUGCAAUUGCAUCACUACCAGAUGGACCUGCGUUGUAUUAGCUAGUUGGUGAGGUAACGGCUCACCAAGGCAACGAUACAUAGCCGACCUGAGAGGGUGAUCGGCCACACUGGGACUGAGACACGGCCCAGACUCCUACGGGAGGCAGCAGUAGGGAAUCUUCGGCAAUGGACGGAAGUCUGACCGAGCAACGCCGCGUGAGUGAAGAAGGUUUUCGGAUCGUAAAGCUCUGUUGUAAGAGAAAGAACGAGUGUGAGAGUGGAAAAGUUCACCACUG